GGCCCAGUACAAGUAUAACUCCAGAAAACAAUAAUAUAAAUUCUAAACCUAGCAAAAAUAGACCAGGCUGCAAAAGCUCGAAAGAGGCCUAGUUAGUCGAACAACCUAACCCUAAUAAACCCAUGAUAACCGGAUACCCAAGCAAAAGCCUAAUGUUAUGGGCUUCGACCCACAACCAAGGGACUCGGGAGGAAGAGAAGCAUCACCGUUAUCUAAACCAGCCACUUGAGGAAGACAAAACUGCUAGAUGAAACACAAGGGUGGCCAUUCCCUAGCUGCAACAACCUCAAGGCGAUAUAUGGACCCAAAAGCGAACCAAACCAAGGUAAAGGAGAUUUAGAUAAAGCUUGAAGGAAACACACGGAUCAGUUCAAAGAGGCGAUACAAUAGAUCUCAAAAGCCUAUAAGCUAAAGGGUUGGCCAUAGAUAGCGUAGUCCACUCAGAGGGACAGAAAAACCACAGAACUGACCAAAAAAGAGGUAAGUGUCUUAGAUACAUAAGAGAGCCAAGGAGAGAAAAAUUCUCUCUCUUAAACUUAGAGUGAGAGAUUUUUGAAAAACAACUGCCAACUUGAUGUAUCAAACAUUAAAGCCUUCUAAUGUUUCAA
RNAcentral lists this unclassified non-coding RNA (608 nucleotides) under Hevea brasiliensis (rubber tree). Lineage: Eukaryota; Viridiplantae; Streptophyta; Magnoliopsida; Malpighiales; Euphorbiaceae. The record is from RNAcentral.